This 287-nucleotide ribosomal RNA is filed under the name Proteus mirabilis. RNAcentral's name for it is "partial 23S ribosomal RNA". It matches the Rfam family "Bacterial large subunit ribosomal RNA", at positions 1 to 286 of the family's 2925-position model. Lineage: Bacteria; Pseudomonadati; Pseudomonadota; Gammaproteobacteria; Enterobacterales; Morganellaceae. RNAcentral also lists the same sequence under 2 other names. The record is from RNAcentral.
GGUUAAGUGAAUAAGGGCGCACGGUGGAUGCCUUGGCACUAGGAGCCGAUGAAGGACGGGACUAACACCGAUAUGCUUUGGGGAGCUGUAAGUAAGCUAUGAUCCAGAGAUUUCCGAAUGGGGGAACCCAAUAUCUUUUAUAGGAUAUUACUUUUCAGUGAAUACAUAGCUGAUUAGAGGUAGACGCAGAGAACUGAAACAUCUUAGUACCUGCAGGAAGAGAAAGAAAAUUCGAUUCCCUGAGUAGCGGCGAGCGAAACGGGAAGAGCCCAAACCAACAAGCUUGC